This is a long non-coding RNA of Macaca fascicularis (crab-eating macaque), 4140 nucleotides long. NCBI's taxonomy places the organism in Eukaryota, Metazoa, Chordata, Mammalia, Primates, Cercopithecidae. The record is from Ensembl.
AUGCUUCAGAGCCUUGACUGUGACACGGAGCUCAGGUUGCCAAGGGAAUGGGAGCCACGCCGUGACGGGCUGACUGAGGCUGAAUCGGUCCUAUGGGGCAGUGUAGCCACUUUCUGCAGGUGCAGAGCUGCUGUCUGGCUCCUUUUCUGUCUCACACAAAGCAAGUGGAAAGGAGAAUCUAGUACCAUAAAAUGCCACUGGAUCUACUUCGAUGUGAUAACCUGUGGAGUCAUGCUUGCUUAUUGUUCUGUUCAGCUUUCUGGAAGCCAGUGGACUACAAUAUAUGUUCGGCAUUGCCCACCCAUUUUUAAUUCAUCCAAGUACACUCACUAAGGCAGAAAGAAAACAAAAAAAUGAAAAAGUAACAUUUUUUUUUCUAACCCUCCUUUCUAGUGUGUGUCCUUUCCAGUGGCACAUCAGCAAUUGUGGCUUAGAUUCAAGAACUGCAGGUGCAGAAGCUUGACCGUGCCACCAGAGCCGUACCUUCACCUAGUCAUUGCACGCAAAAUGCCUGGAUUCAAAAGCAUGGAAGGGGCUUGAAUUUGGUUUGGACCAUGAUUUUGUUGUUUAUGUUUUUAGGAUAUUAUUUUCAUUCCAAAAGUGACCAUAGGAAAUCAAAUGUCUGAGAACAAAGGGCUUAAGAAUGCAAUCAUCUAACAAACAUUAAAAAGUCCCCUUUAUUAUAGAACUAAAUUUCACACACACAAAAAAAUCUGAAAUGAAUAAAAUAAAUAUGUCACCACCAAACUAAAUAAAGCCCAUCAACCUGCAUUACACCUUGACUACUACCCAAAAUUUGAGAACAACAGAUAGCACAUUUAUCAUAAUAGCAGGACAAAUAGUUGCAGGGAAUGUAUGCCAGGGAAAAGCUUCAAAGAGGCAGAAGACAAGGGAAAAGACAGUGGCUCUCCCAGCAGUAACUGAUGAUCUUCAGGAGGUGUCACACUGGGGACAAAGAUCCUGACAUGCACAUGUGAAAUGAGAAUGAAAUGAGAGUAGGCAAUUUAGCACCAAUUUCCUACACUCGGGCACCCACCCUCUCCAGAGGCAAUUGUUCUCCCUGAAAACUCCCUCCUUUCCAGUUUGACUCUGAUGUUCCUGAAGCAGAGAUCAUUUGAACUUAUCACGUAUUCAUAUCCUAAGGGAGAGUCUGUCACAAAGAAACAGGAAGAGGCAGGUGCAGAGAGCACCUAUGCCUGGUUAGAGAGCUCCAGUUGCUAAAAUGGGGCCACCAUAAGCAGAAGGACGGUGACGAGAUAAAUCAGAUACAGUAUUGGUCCUUGCCUCCCUGAAGACUGACUUUGAAAUCUGGAUUCACUUUAGCACACACACACACACAAAUGCUUUUUAAAAAAAAUUGAGACGGAGUCCCCCUCUGUCACCCAGUCUGGAGUGCAGUGGCACGAUCUUGGCUCACUGCAGCCUCUGCCUCCCGGGCUCAAGUGAUUCUCAUGCCUCAGCCUCCAGAGUAACUGGAAUUACAGGUGCUUGCCACCAUGUCUGGCUAAUUUUUGUAUUUUUAGUAGAGAUUGAGUUUCACUGCAUUGGCCAGGCUGGUCUCGAACUCCUGACUUCAAGUGAUCUGCCUCCUGAAGUGCUGGGAUUAUAGGCAUGAGCCACCGUGCCUGGCGUAUAAAACCAUUUUUUAAUGAACAAAUGAGUGACCAAAUGAGAGACUGUAUAGAAGUUUUCAGUGGAGGAACAAUGUAAAACAAAUGGAAAGAACUUAAGGAAAGAGAAAUGACUUCCAAAGUAGAUGUUAUUAUAUGCCAAUCACUUUACAUACACUGUCUUCUUAAAUCAUUAGAAGAAUUCUGUGUGGUGCAUUUUAUUAUUCACAUUAAACUGAUAAGGAAGCUGAGGCUGGGAUGAGGAAGUCAUUUGCCUGCUAUCACACCCCUAGUCAGUGGCAGGGCUCGGGUUUGAGCUCAAGUGUGUCGGACAGUACUGCCUAUGCUCUUUCAGUUAUGACAACCACAUCCAACAACACCCUAAACUAACUUUUAAGGAGUACUUACUAGGUGCCAGGUGCUUUUCACACAUCAUUUUCUUCAAUCAAUUUAAAUAACCCUUAAAAAUAAUCACAUUAUUUUAAAUAUCAUAUUAUUUAAAUAAUAUGAUAUUAUAAAUAUCAGUAAUCAUAUUAUUAUUCCCAGUCCAAAGAUGAGGAAACUUAGAACCUCAAGGCAAUGAUCAUUCUUGCCUAAGAUGGUAUAGUAAGCCCUAAAGCUGAGAUUCAAACCCAGAGCUAAUAGCAAAGCCUGUCAUUAAUCACCCCACUCUUCCACUCUUAAAACCAGAGAUCCAAAGGGAAGAGGUGAUUUCCUGCCAGAACAGAGUUUAUAUCUAGAGGAGGAUCUAUCGCCUUCCCAGAGGAAUUCAUUACUGAAUUAUAUUCAAAUAGUAAAUGAACAUAUCUUCCUCUCCAUAUCUGAAUCACCUAUCUUCUCUUUUUCCUCCAGCUAUGCUAGGAAUUCAGCUCCAUACACCCAUGGUAACAUGGAUAUCAACUUUGCCUACUGGGCCCUGAAAUUCUUGGGGUCUAAAAGGGUAAUUCUCAUUUCUGUACCUACAGGGCCAUGCACAGAACCUAGGUGAGAGUAGUUGCUCUAUUAGUUUGAAGAGAUCAAUGAGUGAAUGAGUGAAUGGAUGAAUAAACGAACAAGCAUGGAAUUCUAGAUUGGAAGGCACUUUAGAGAAAAUUGAUUACAGUUACCACAUUUUACAGAAUUAUUUUCCUGGAUUUGGAGAAAUGUUAACUGACUUUCCCAGAAACAAGUGCUAGAUAAAUAUAUUAUACACACACACACACACACACACAAUAACGCCAGCCUCAUAACAACAAAGUAAAAUACAUAAAAUGUGACUCUCUUGGGACUAGACUUUAGAUACAUUUUGAAUAUUUUAUGGGACUUUUUUAGCUAUAUAGGCCACAGAUUGUGAUGAGAACACACCCUAAUUUGGCAAGUGUUUUGUAUCCAUAAUGAGAUUUCUAAAUGUUAUCUGUUUUUAGUACAUAAAGAUAUCCUGAGUAAAAUAUUUAACAUAAUUGUGGCACUUGUCAUACAGUCUUUUCUCCUUCUAUACCCCAAAAGGAUUGCAUAGCCUGAGGUGGUGGUUAGCAACGAAGGGGUUCUGUGUAUUUGUAUAUUUUCAUGCAUGGAUUUAUUUUUGAAACACAGAGUUUAUGCCUCAGCAGUGAGGAACUCCUGAAAUCAUGGAGAGACUCAAAGUGGACAUAAUACAUCUGAAUCGUUACUUUGCAACUUAUCAUUCAAACCAGGACCAGGACACAGUUGAGAGUGAAGGGGGAUGUUACAAGAUAGACGGUCUUCUUGUGCAAAUAUUUAACCUUUUGUGGUCUUCCACAAGAAGACCAUCUACCUUAUAACAUCCCCAACAAUCUAGUACCAGAAAUACCAUUUGACCCAGCAAUCCCAUUACUGGGUAUAUACCCAAAUGAUUAUAAAUCAUCCUGAUAUAAAGACACAUGUACACGUGUGUUUAUUGCAGCAAUGUUCACAACAGCAAAGAGUUGGAACCAACCCAAAUGCCCAUCAGUGACAGACUGGAUAAAAAAAAUGUGGCACAUAAACACCAUGGAAUACUAUGUAGCCAUAAAAGAGGAUGAGUUUGGCCGGGCACCAUGGCUCACGCCUGUAAUCCCAGCACUUUGGGAGGCAAAGGUGAGCAGAUCACGAGCUCAGGAGUUUGAGACCAGCCUGGCCAAUAUGGUGAAACCCGAUCUCCACUAAAAAUACAAAAAUUAGCGGGGUGGGUUGGUGUGCAUCUAUAGUCCCAGCUACUUGGGAGGCUGAGGCAGAAGAAUCGCUUGAACCCAGGAGGUGGAGGUUGCAGUGAGCCAAGAUCGUACCACUACACUCCAGCCUGGGCAAUAGAGCGAGAUUCCAUCUCAAAAAACAAAACAAAAAAAAUUUAAAAAAAGGAUGAACUCAUAUCCUUUGCAGGGACGUGGAUGAAGCUGGAAGUCAUCAUUCUCAGCAAACUAACACAGGAACAGAAAAUCAAACACCGCAUGUUCUCACCCACUAGUGGAAGUUGAACAAUGUGAACACAUGGACACAGGGCAGGAACAUCCACACGUGUGGGAGGCUAGGGAGGGUAGCAUUAGGAGAAAUA